UAACCUACCCAUCAGAGGGGGAUAACAACUUGGAAACAGGUGCUAAUAACCGCCAUAACAGUUUAUGCCGCAUGGCAUAAGAGUGAAAGGCGCUUUCGGGUGUCGCUGAUGGAUGGACCCGCGGUGCAUUAGCUAGUUGGUGAGGUAACGGCUCACCAAGGCCACGAUGCAUAGCCGACCUGAGAGGGUGAUCGGCCACACUGGGACUGAGACACGGCCCAG
This 222-nucleotide ribosomal RNA is filed under the name uncultured bacterium. RNAcentral's name for it is "partial 16S ribosomal RNA". It matches the Rfam family "Bacterial small subunit ribosomal RNA", at positions 122 to 334 of the family's 1533-position model. The record is from RNAcentral.